GAAAUGCGAUAAGUAAUGUGAAUUGCAGAAUUCAGUGAAUCAUCGAAUCUUUGAACGCACAUUGCGCCCGCCAGAAUUCUGGCGGGCAUGCCUGUUCGAGCGUCAUUUCAACCCUCGAGCUCCCCUUUCGGGGGGAGCCCGGCGUUGGGGACCCGGCGCUAACAACGCCGGCCCCGAAAUGGAGUGGCGGCCCGUCCACGGCGACCUCUGCGUAGUAACAACCACUCGCACCGGGACCCGGGCGCGGCCACGCCGUAAAACACCCCACCUUCCGAAUGUUGACCUCGAAUCAGGUAGGAAUACCCGCUGAACUUAAGC
This 318-nucleotide unclassified non-coding RNA is filed under the name plant metagenome. Its description in RNAcentral is "partial contains 5.8S ribosomal RNA, internal transcribed spacer 2, and large subunit ribosomal RNA". The stretch from base 1 to 105 matches the Rfam family "5.8S ribosomal RNA", at positions 50 to 154 of the family's 154-position model. The record is from RNAcentral.